AUGGCCCUGUUUGAGGAGUUCUUUGUAGGGUCCAUCGAUCUCACCCGGCUGAACUUUGGGAUAAUCACCCUCAUCCCCAAAGUGAUUGGGGCUUCGGAUAUCCGCCAAUUCCGGCCGAUUACGGUGAUUAAUGUCAUCUUCUGCAUCCUUGCGAAGGGGUACGCCAUUAGGGUGGCCCCCAUGCAUUGCCGACCGGAUCACUCACCCUGA
RNAcentral lists this ribosomal RNA (210 nucleotides) under Triticum aestivum (bread wheat). RNAcentral describes it as "partial small subunit ribosomal RNA". The record is from RNAcentral. Lineage: Eukaryota; Viridiplantae; Streptophyta; Magnoliopsida; Poales; Poaceae.